AAUAUAAUUUAAAAUAUAUUUAUAAGCAAAAUAUAGAUACAACAUACAUAUAAUAGUAUAUUAACAAUUAAACAUAAAU
This 79-nucleotide small RNA is filed under the name Arabidopsis thaliana (thale cress). Its description in RNAcentral is "ATSL123420". Lineage: Eukaryota; Viridiplantae; Streptophyta; Magnoliopsida; Brassicales; Brassicaceae. The record is from RNAcentral.